This 780-nucleotide ribosomal RNA is filed under the name Boletaceae sp. 121-396. RNAcentral's name for it is "eukaryotic LSU rRNA". The stretch from base 1 to 106 matches the Rfam family "5.8S ribosomal RNA", at positions 50 to 154 of the family's 154-position model. The record is from RNAcentral. Lineage: Eukaryota; Fungi; Basidiomycota; Agaricomycetes; Boletales.
GAAUUGCGAUAAGUAAUGUGAAUUGCAGAUUUUCAGUGAAUCAUCGAAUCUUUGAACGCACCUUGCGCCCCUUGGUAUUCCGAGGAGCAUGCCUGUUUGAGUGUCAUUUGACUUAUCAACCAAGAGUUUUUUAUUUAUUAGACUUUUGGCUUGGACUUGGGAUCGCUGGCCUUGACUCGGGUCGGCUUUUCUUAAAUGCAUUAGCGAGCGUCAGUCUACAUGCACGGCCUUUCGACGUGAUAACGAUCGUCGUGGGCUGGAAGGUGUAGGUUCUUGCUUCUAAAUGAAUCUAUUAGACGUGUGGCACGGCCUGAUCGCUGGGAAGCAUAUGGAUAAUCAUCCGUGUGCACGGCCUGAUCGCUGGAAGCAUAGCGAAGUAGAUUAAAACCGAUGGGAAUUUAUCUAUUAAACGGUGGGUAACGUGGUACGGCAGGAUCGCUGGAAGCACGGUAUUAAUGAUGACUAUGAUGAAGUGGAAAUGAUAUGUCUAUGGAAACAUAGAGACAUGAAAGCUCAUCAUGAUUAGCAUUAUGUACUGUGUGCACGGCCUGAUCGCUGGAAGCAAUAUCUGUCGAGUGUGGCACGGCCUGAUAGCUGGAAGCAUAGUGAACGGAAGACUAUUAGCGAGCGGAAGUGAUAUGUCUAUGACACGAAAGCUUGUGAAUUAGGAUCUGUCUACUACGUGCACGGCCUGAUCGCUGGAAGCAUAGGAUCGAUGGAUAAAUUCUAGUCGAAAACCUAAUUGACCUCAAAUCAGGUAGGACUACCCGCUGAACUUAA